CUAAGGAGUUUUGUUUUUUAAAAUUCUGGGUGGAUGCGCAUCGUUGGUGGUGUUGUGGUGCAUUGUCAUGCUGUUGGGUGUCUGGCACACUGGUGCCUGUGGUGUGUGUUAACUGUAUAGUGGACGCGAAGCAUAUUUUUCUGGUUUAUGCGUAUGGUUUUUAUUGUGUUCCUUGAUUGUGUGGUUUACUGAUUGCUUAUGU
RNAcentral lists this unclassified non-coding RNA (202 nucleotides) under uncultured bacterium. RNAcentral describes it as "16S-23S ribosomal RNA intergenic spacer". The record is from RNAcentral.